Molecule: ribosomal RNA, 435 nt
Filed under: uncultured bacterium
Lineage: Bacteria
Description: partial 16S ribosomal RNA
Rfam family: Bacterial small subunit ribosomal RNA
Source: RNAcentral
AGCGAACGCUGGCGGCAGGCUUAACACAUGCAAGUCGAACGGGCUUCUUCGGAAGCCAGUGGCAGACGGGUGAGUAACACGUGGGAACGUGCCCUUCGGUUCGGAAUAACUCAGGGAAACUUGAGCUAAUACCGGAUACGCCCUUUUGGGGAAAGGUUUACUGCCGAAGGAUCGGCCCGCGUCUGAUUAGCUUGUUGGUGGGGUAACGGCCUACCAAGGCGACGAUCAGUAGCUGGUCUGAGAGGAUGAUCAGCCACACUGGGACUGAGACACGGCCCAGACUCCUACGGGAGGCAGCAGUGGGGAAUAUUGGACAAUGGGCGCAAGCCUGAUCCAGCCAUGCCGCGUGAGUGAUGAAGGCCUUAGGGUUGUAAAGCUCUUUUGUCCGGGACGAUAAUGACGGUACCGGAAGAAUAAGCCCCGGCUAACUUCGUG